CAGUGUUGAAAGAAGGUUUGUUUCCCAUCCCUCUGUAUGCUGCAAGCUAAAAAAGCCCUUUCCAGACCUUACACCACAGCUGUAACGCAUAAUGACCUCAACAGUUCUCUGCCUGAGGAAGAACAAAAGGACAUCCUAAGGGAAAACGCGCAGAUGAUCCUACGAAGUACUUGCACUGCAAUUUAGACACAGGACUAGAGGCAGAAUGCUGGGUGAGCAAGCAAGAAUCCUGGACUUCCUAAGGGAAAAAUGAAGUGCCAGUCCCGAAUGCUGCACAAGUGACCAUGGAUGUAGAAUGGUGCACGAUUUGUUCUGGGCAUCCUUAUUGUGCAAGUCUCUACACCUGCUCUUGAAAGAGAUAAGAGUUGGGUCAUGGCUUGGAGAAAUAAGAAAAGCAAAAAGGAGGAGGAACAUGAUUUCCUUUGCAGGUGACAGCUUUGGCCGGUGCAGUUCAGUGGCAGAGCUGUGGCUUUGGGAUUAGCACAGUGUUGUCCUGUGCCUGAAUUGCCCCUGGCCUGGGAGAACCUCUGUGAUGCCUUGAGCCUCCACUGGAAAGUGCUCAGAGACAUAGAUGGUAUGAAAAACAGCACAUUCAAGCCAGAAAGAGGACGGGAAAGAGGACUGCAGAAGGGACCAGAAUACUUAACAGUCAGCAAAGCGAACAUGUAACUUGAUCUGGGAGGAAACGUUGCAGGUCUUUGGGGAAGCUGAGUUGUGUGGUAUUAGCCAAGCUCAUUCUGUAUUCCCUCUGCCUGUAUUAUUUCCCUAGCACCAAGCCAACUAACAGAAACUGUUAGUUUGUAUGCGUUUAAAUAAACAGUAACUGUAUCUCCAGGUGCCUGCGUUGGUGUUUUAUUUCCUUCCUCACAGAAAGGCUGUGGAGUGCUUCUGUUUCCCUAAACCAUGACGCUCUUCUGAGGUUUUGCUGCAGUUGCUCAGCACUGCCCAACCCAGCUGCACUGCAGUCAACAGCAUGCUGAAAAGCCUUCCCUUUGGAGCCUGUCCAUGGAGUUCGGGUAGCUACUGAGCGUGUUUGCUGGCAGGUCAGAUAUCCUUCCUACCCUUCCUAGUGACUAUAAAAGCAAGGGAAGGGAUGUGCUACCUUGGGAAUGGGACUGGUUUCUUCUGGAGUACUGGCUAUUUGUUGACGCUCAUAAAACCCUGCAGUCAUACCAUCAGAGCAGAACUAAGCCUGCAGAUAGGGU
RNAcentral lists this long non-coding RNA (1205 nucleotides) under Gallus gallus (chicken). The record is from RNAcentral. Lineage: Eukaryota; Metazoa; Chordata; Aves; Galliformes; Phasianidae.